AUGCCUCAAGUAAAAUGUAGCAACAAGAGUAAGAAAGACUCUUCUUCUAGUAGUAACAAUAAUCAUGCUAAACCCAAUGUUGUUACCCCUAGUAGUUCUCUUGAUUCCACUAAUGAUUCUCUUAGCCAAGUUACACUUGAGCAAGAAAAUAGCUUAUUGAAGGGAAUUAUAGAGAAAGGUGUCUACAAGAGCCUUGCCGAAAGUAAGCAAUUUGAGGAAAUUGUACGCAAGCAAGGAAGGCACCGGAAGAAUCAAGGUGUUGGUUUUGAACGAAAGUUCAAUGCCAAUGGAGUUGAGUGGGAAGAAGAUCAAUACCCCAAGACAAAGUUUGUUCCUCAACAAGAGAAGUAUGAUCCUACUUCUUUCCAAGGGACACAAGCUCAAGAUGAUAUUCCACCACAAGACCACAAGCAAAAAGGCAAGGACAAGCUUCAGGAGGAUAUUGAUGCAUUUGAAGAAUCUCCCAAGGCCUUGGUCAAGUAG
Molecule: ribosomal RNA, 483 nt
Filed under: Triticum aestivum (bread wheat)
Lineage: Eukaryota; Viridiplantae; Streptophyta; Magnoliopsida; Poales; Poaceae
Description: partial small subunit ribosomal RNA
Source: RNAcentral